GCAAGUCGAGCGCUACCUUCGGGUGGAGCGGCGGACGGGUUAGUAACGCGUGGGAACAUACCCUUUUCUACGGAAUAGCCUCGGGAAACUGAGAGUAAUACCGUAUAAGCCCUUCGGGGGAAAGAUUUAUCGGAGAAGGAUUAGCCCGCGUUAGAUUAGGUAGUUGGUGGGGUAAUGGCCUACCAAGCCUACGAUCUGUAGCUGGUCUGAGAGGACGAUC
Molecule: ribosomal RNA, 220 nt
Filed under: uncultured bacterium
Lineage: Bacteria
Description: partial 16S ribosomal RNA
Rfam family: Bacterial small subunit ribosomal RNA
Source: RNAcentral